GAUGCAAACUGCGAAUACCGGAGAAUGUUAUCACGGGAGACACACGGCGGGUGCUAACGUCCGUCGUGAAGAGGGAAACAACCCAGACCGCCAGCUAAGGUCCCAAAGUCAUGGUUAAGUGGGAAACGAUGUGGGAAGGCCCAGACAGCCAGGAUGUUGGCUUAGAAGCAGCCAUCAUUUAAAGAAAGCGUAAUAGCUCACUGGUCGAGUCGGCCUGCGCGGAAGAUGUAACGGGGCUAAACCAUGCACCGAAGCUGCGGCAGCGACGCUUAUGCGUUGUUGGGUAGGGGAGCGUUCUGUAAGCCUGCGAAGGUGUGCUGUGAGGCAUGCUGGAGGUAUCAGAAGUGCGAAUGCUGACAUAAGUAACGAUAAAGCGGGUGAAAAGCCCGCUCGCCGGAAGACCAAGGGUUCCUGUCCAACGUUAAUCGGGGCAGGGUGAGUCGACCCCUAAGGCGAGGCCGAAAGGCGUAGUCGAUGGGAAACAGGUUAAUAUUCCUGUACUUGGUGUUACUGCGAAGGGGGGACGGAGAAGGCUAUGUUGGCCGGGCGACGGUUGUCCCGGUUUAAGCGUGUAGGCUGGUUUUCCAGGCAAAUCCGGAAAAUCAAGGCUGAGGCGUGAUGACGAGGCACUACGGUGCUGAAGCAACAAAUGCCCUGCUUCCAGGAAAAGCCUCUAAGCAUCAGGUAACAUCAAAUCGUACCCCAAACCGACACAGGUGGUCAGGUAGAGAAUACCAAGGCGCUUGAGAGAACUCGGGUGAAGGAACUAGGCAAAAUGGUGCCGUAACUUCGGGAGAAGG
RNAcentral lists this ribosomal RNA (800 nucleotides) under Escherichia coli. RNAcentral describes it as "partial 23S ribosomal RNA". It matches the Rfam family "Bacterial large subunit ribosomal RNA", at positions 946 to 1746 of the family's 2925-position model. Lineage: Bacteria; Pseudomonadati; Pseudomonadota; Gammaproteobacteria; Enterobacterales; Enterobacteriaceae. The record is from RNAcentral.